This 371-nucleotide ribosomal RNA is filed under the name uncultured bacterium. RNAcentral describes it as "bacterial SSU rRNA". It matches the Rfam family "Bacterial small subunit ribosomal RNA", at positions 527 to 898 of the family's 1533-position model. The record is from RNAcentral.
GAACCGUGCGAACGUUGUUCGGAAUCACUGGGCUUAAAGGGCGCGUAGGCGGUCUGCCAAGUCGGGGUUGAAAUCUUUCGGCUCAACCGGAAAAGUGGCUUCGAUACUGGCAGGCUGGAGGGAGGUAGGGGCGGAUGGAACUUCCGGUGGAGCGGUGAAAUGUGUUGAUAUCGGAAGGAACGCCGGUGGCGAAAGCGAUCCGCUGGACCUCUUCUGACGCUGAGGCGCGAAAGCCAGGGGAGCAAACGGGAUUAGAUACCCCGGUAGUCCUGGCCCUAAACGAUGGGUACUGAGUAGUGGACUUGCAUGGGUUCACUGCUGAAGCAAAAGUGGUAAGUACCCCGCCUGGGGAGUAUGGUCGCAAGGCUGAA